This is a non-coding RNA of Callorhinus ursinus (northern fur seal), 2349 nucleotides long. Lineage: Eukaryota; Metazoa; Chordata; Mammalia; Carnivora; Otariidae. The record is from RefSeq and is a predicted model, not a curated record.
CGGCGUAGCUCGCAAACCGGGGAUACAAGUGGGGAUGGCGGCGUUGGCGGCGUUGGCGGCGACUGUGGGCGGACUGUUGAGGCUACGUGCGGCCGGGGCGGAAGGACAGUGGCGUCGGCUUCGAGGCGCGGGGCUGCUGCGGGGCUUGCUGCAGCCCGACUCGGCCACCGGGGUUGCGGCGCAGAGGAGGCAUGUGGCUCACUUCACUUUCCAGCCGGACCCGGAGCCCCAGGAGUAUGGGCAAACUCAGAAAAUGAAUCUUUUCCAGGCGAUAACAAGUGCCUUGGAUAACUCAUUGGCUAAAGAUCCUACUGCAGUAAUAUUUGGUGAAGAUGUCGCCUUUGGAGGAGUCUUUAGAUGUACGGUUGGCUUGCGAGACAAGUAUGGAAAAGAUAGAGUUUUCAACACGCCGUUGUGUGAACAAGGGAUCGUUGGGUUUGGAAUUGGGGUCGCAGUCACUGGGGCGACCGCUAUUGCAGAAAUUCAGUUUGCAGAUUAUAUUUUCCCUGCUUUUGAUCAGAUUGUUAACGAAGCUGCCAAGUACCGCUAUCGCUCUGGGGAUCUUUUUAAUUGUGGAAGCCUCACUAUCCGGGCGCCUUGGGGCUGUGUCGGCCAUGGGGCUCUUUAUCAUUCUCAGAGUCCUGAAGCUUUUUUUGCUCACUGUCCAGGAAUCAAGGUGGUUGUACCCAGAAGCCCUUUCCAGGCCAAGGGACUUCUUUUGUCAUGCAUAGAGGAUAAAAAUCCUUGUAUAUUUUUUGAACCUAAAAUACUUUACAGGGCAGCAGUUGAACAGGUUCCUGUAGAACCAUACAACAUUCCCCUGUCCCAGGCUGAAGUCAUUCAGGAAGGGAGUGACGUGACUCUAGUUGCCUGGGGCACUCAGGUUCAUGUGAUCCGAGAGGUGGCUUCCAUGGCUCAAGAGAAGCUUGGAGUGUCUUGUGAAGUCAUUGAUCUGAGGACUAUACUACCUUGGGACAUGGAUACGGUUUGCAAGAAAAGUUUGGAUACGUGACAUCUUUCUAGGAUUUGGAGAUGACUUUAAAGAAGAGGACCCUAUAGCUACACCUCAGUAAAAAUCCCUCAGCUUUUUUCAUGACAUGUUAAGCUCAACACCCAAAUGCAUCUUUUGGAAUACCUAAUCAAGAAAAGCCUAUUAAAGGUAAAAAAAUAAAUACUUAUUGAACAUACAUAGACAUUAGCACACUAUGCAUAGUAAAAUGACUCUGGGACAGUUGAGGAAUUGGUUAAUGUAGUCUGAAUUUAACUGUGUUUUAAAAAACGUAGUCACACUUGUUGCUUGAGCCUUGAAGCAUUGUUUGGAAGUUAUAAUCCUGAAAAAUUGCUUGGGGACAGAGAGCAGCAGAGUGUUUGAAUGUUGCUCAGGGAAGCUACAAAAUUGGAGACCUGAGUGGGUCUAAGAACCAUAGUUCAUCAAUUCUGGACCUGAUAUUGGAGAACUAAGCUGGAAGCCUCUAAAACGUAGAACAAAAAUUCCUGAGUUUUGAAGUGCCUAGGAGACAGAGACCUACCCUGGGAAUUGGGGUGGCUUAAGAACAUCAGCGAGGAGAGUUGAAAGCUCUGAAGUGAGUAGUAAAUUGGCUCUUUUUACUUGGGGGCACCUGCCAAGUAAGUCUCAACUAGAAACUGAGAACCCAGGCGUAUAGAAUCCAUGUUUCAUGGGGUUGUAGUGACAAAAUAGGAAACUUGGAGGGGGGGGGUUGCUUAAACACACAGGUGGUCUCCCAUUCAAGAUAAAUGCCAAAUUGUAUGUGGUGGGAGCUGAAAAUACCUGAAAGUCCAAGCCAUCCCUUGAGACUGAAGUGUCAAAGACCAGUCAUACUCUCAGUUGAAAGUUGGGGAGUCGGGUCUUAGGAGCUACCAGAGGUAGAUUAAAGCUUUCCAAAUCCACAGCACAGCCUCUCUCCCUCUCAGUUCCUUACUGGAUUAAUAUAACUUACCUUCUUUUCUGUCUGCCCAGCACAACAAGGAGUCAGUCCUCCCAUCAUCUGGAACCUCAGUGAAUCAGCAUUCAGUAAAAAAUUACUAAGUAUAUGAAGAGACAGGACCAUUUGAUUCAAAACCAAGAGAAAACACAAACAAUAGAAAGCAGAAACACAGGUGAUCCAGUCAUUGGAGUUAGCAGACAAAGACUUUAUUAUGUUUAGGAAUAUAGGAGGAAGAAAAAGAACAAAAGAGAAAUUCAGAGAAGCUGCCUAUGGAAAAGAAGAACUUGAUUUUGGCAGGAGAAUGACAGUCUUUGAAAGAAACUCAGGAUUCAAGAAUAAUACUGUCCUUCAACUUAAAAUCAACUACAUACAACAGUGCCAAAAAGGAAAGAAAAAUGACAGU